This 1520-nucleotide long non-coding RNA is filed under the name Sarcophilus harrisii (Tasmanian devil). RNAcentral describes it as "lncRNA (ENSSHAG00000027818.1)". The record is from RNAcentral. Lineage: Eukaryota; Metazoa; Chordata; Mammalia; Dasyuromorphia; Dasyuridae.
UGCGUCUUCCGCAAGAUGGCGGCCCCCGUGUCUGUUCAGGUGGAGUUCGGAGGCGGAGCAGAGCUCUUAUUUGACGGUGUAAAGAAGCACCAGGUGACCUUACCCAGUCAAGAGGAGCCUUGGGAUAUCCGAAACCUUCUCAUCUGGAUAAGGAAGAACCUGUUAAAGGAGCGGCCAGAGUUAUUUAUCCAGGGAGAUAGCGUAAGCUUCCCAUGCCCAUGUCCCAGUCCUUAGUGCUCAUCAACCAGCAUGACCUGGUGGAGUGAGCAUCAGAGGAGCUCUGUUCUAAACUCAGGCGACCAGGGAUUCUGGUACUAAUCAAUGAUGCUGACUGGGAGUUGCAGGGUGAAUUGGACUACCAAUUACAGGACCAAGACAGCAUCCUCUUCAUUUCCACACUACAUGGUGGUUAGAGCAUCUAUCCUCCUCCAUCCUUCAGUUCCUUCAGCUCCCAGGGACCUUCAGGGCAGAAAACAUCCAAAAUGGGGGAACAAUAGAGACAGAAAUCCUCCCCCCUCUCCUCCUUCCCCCACAGCCGGAGCAUGUGGGACAACAAGCUUGCCAUGACUUUGUCUUCAUGAAGAAGGACCAGCAGCAAAAGAGACCCAGGCAGUCCUGCUCUCCUGCCUCUUCCCCUUGCUGCAUUCUUCCCACUCCCUCUCCAGCCUUAGCAGCUUUCCCUCCGGGAAGGGAAAUGAGGCCAGGUACUAAAAAUGUGCUGCUUACAGCUCGUGUACUAGUGGAAGAAGCUACUACCACCUCCUUCCCCCAAAUGGGAGGGGGGCACAGCUUUGCCAAGAGACCUGCCCCAGAUUGCUCCCUUCUGUAAUCUGUGCCCCCAAGGGAGGUAGUAGCCCUUCUGCCCCCACUACUCUGCAGGCAAGUUUGUGAGCUCUGAACCUCUAUGUUCCCACCUCGUAUGGCACUGUUCCAGUAUUCCAAACUGUGUCAUCUUGAGCAAGUCAUUCAUCACCCUGAGUUUUAGUUUCCUGCUCUGUGAAAUUGCCUUUUGGCAAUUUCUAAGGACCCUUUCAAGCUCUAGAAUUCUGACUGAGAUUCCUUGCCUCAGUUUCCUCUCUCAGAAGCAAAGGGCUCCACCUGCUUCUUCUAGUGUCAUUACUGAACCACAGCUGGGGGCCCCUAUUCAGUGCUGCCUCUUCCUCCUCCUUCUGCCUGGAUGCCCCCAGCUGCUCCAACCUUGCUCCUCUGACUCCCCUAGCCCUUGACCUAGGCCUGCCCUAUAGUAUAGAGGCUACCAGAUGGACUCCCCCAGAGAUAAAAAACUGCCUGAAGACACCUGGGCUCUGUGCCUCACUGGGGAGGGCUUUGGGUCGCUUCCUCGUGCCUCAGUUUCCUCUCCAGUGCCUAGGAUUUUACCAUUGUGAACUGAGGUGGUGCCAGAAAACCAGGGCACAAGAAACUGCUUUGUGACAUAUUUGGGACCUCCAGCUUCUCGCCCCACAGCAUGCAGACCCAUCUGGAAGCCAACAUGGCGGUGCUUGUAACAGCCGGCAUUGGGC